Molecule: transfer RNA, 71 nt
Filed under: Bos taurus (domestic cattle)
Lineage: Eukaryota; Metazoa; Chordata; Mammalia; Artiodactyla; Bovidae
Also listed under: 5 other names
Rfam family: tRNA
About the family: Transfer RNA (tRNA) molecules are approximately 80 nucleotides in length. Their secondary structure includes four short double-helical elements and three loops (D, anti-codon, and T loops).
Source: Rfam by way of RNAcentral
UCCCAGGUGUCUCAGUGAUAUAGAAUCUGCCUGCAAUGCAGGAGAUGCAAGUUCAAUCCCUGGGUUGGGAA